GAUGAACGCUAGCGGCAGGCUUAAUACAUGCAAGUCGAGGGGCAGCAUGACUGUAGCAAUACAGUUGAUGGCGACCGGCAAACGGGUGCGGAACACGUACAGAACCUUCCUUCGAGCGGGGAAUAGCCCAGAGAAAUUUGGAUUAAUACCCCAUAGUACAACGGAGUGGCAUCACUUUGUUGUUAAAGAUUUAUCACUUGAAGAUGGCUGUGCGGCUGAUUAGGUAGUUGGCGGGGUAACGGCCCACCAAGCCUGCGAUCAGUAACUGGUGUGAGAGCACGACCAGUCACACGGGCACUGAGACACGGGCCCGACUCCUACGGGAGGCAGCAGUAAGGAAUAUUGGUCAAUGGACGAAAGUCUGAACCAGCCAUGCCGCGUGGAGGAUGAAGGUCCUCUGGAUUGUAAAC
Molecule: ribosomal RNA, 410 nt
Filed under: uncultured bacterium
Lineage: Bacteria
Description: bacterial SSU rRNA
Rfam family: Bacterial small subunit ribosomal RNA
Source: RNAcentral